RNAcentral lists this ribosomal RNA (492 nucleotides) under uncultured bacterium. RNAcentral's name for it is "partial 16S ribosomal RNA". It matches the Rfam family "Bacterial small subunit ribosomal RNA", at positions 29 to 507 of the family's 1533-position model. The record is from RNAcentral.
AGUGAACGCUGGCGGUAGGCCUAACACAUGCAAGUCGAACGGCAGCACAGUAAGAGCUUGCUCUUACGGGUGGCGAGUGGCGGACGGGUGAGGAAUACAUCGGAAUCUACUUUUUCGUGGGGGAUAACGUAGGGAAACUUACGCUAAUACCGCAUACGACCUACGGGUGAAAGCAGGGGAUCUUCGGACCUUGCGCGAUUGAAUGAGCCGAUGUCGGAUUAGCUAGUUGGCGGGGUAAAGGCCCACCAAGGCGACGAUCCGUAGCUGGUCUGAGAGGAUGAUCAGCCACACUGGAACUGAGACAAGGUCCAGACUCCUAAGGGAGGCAGCAGUGGGGAAUAUUGGACAAAGGGCGCAAGCCUGAUCCAGCCAUACCGCGUGGGUGAAGAAGGCCUUCGGGUUGUAAAGCCCUUUUGUUGGGAAAGAAAAGCAGCAGGUUAAUACCCCGCUGCUCUGACGGUACCCAAAGAAUAAGCACCGGCUAACUUCGUG